GAUGAACGCUAGCGGGAGGCCUAAUACAUGCAAGUCGAACGGUAACAGGAAUAAACUUCGGUUAAUUCGCUGACGAGUGGCGCACGGGUGAGUAACGCGUACAUAACCUGCCCCUAAGUGUGGGAUAGCCCCGGGAAACUGGGAUUAAUACCGCAUAAUAUCUUAAUGUCGCAUGGCAUAAAGAUUAAAGCUCCGGCGCUUAGGGAUGGAUGUGCGUGCUAUUAGUUAGUUGGUGAGGUAACGGCUCACCAAGACGAUGAUAGCUAGGGGGCGUGAGAGCGUGACCCCCCACACGGGUACUGAGACACGGACCCGACUCCUACGGGAGGCAGCAGUAAGGAAUAUUGGACAAUGGAGGCAACUCUGAUCCAGCCAUCCCGCGUGAAGGAUGACGGCCCUCUGGGUUGUAAACUUCUUUUACUUGUAAAGAAUGGCAGUCAUUUAUGAUUGUUUGACGGUAACUUGUGAAUAAGCACCGGCUAAUUCCGUGCCAGCCGCCGCCGUAACAC
RNAcentral lists this ribosomal RNA (509 nucleotides) under uncultured bacterium. RNAcentral's name for it is "bacterial SSU rRNA". It matches the Rfam family "Bacterial small subunit ribosomal RNA", at positions 28 to 526 of the family's 1533-position model. The record is from RNAcentral.